This 253-nucleotide ribosomal RNA is filed under the name uncultured bacterium. Its description in RNAcentral is "partial 16S ribosomal RNA". It matches the Rfam family "Bacterial small subunit ribosomal RNA", at positions 524 to 776 of the family's 1533-position model. The record is from RNAcentral.
UACGGAGGGGGCUAGCGUUGUUCGGAAUUACUGGGCGUAAAGCGCGCGUAGGCGGCUUUGUAAGUUAGAGGUGAAAGCCCGGGGCUCAACUGCGGAAUUGCCUUUAAGACUGCAUCGCUAGAAUUGUGGAGAGGUAAGUGGAAUUCCGAGUGUAGAGGUGAAAUUCGUAGAUAUUCGGAAGAACACCAGUGGCGAAGGCGACUUACUGGACACAUAUUGACGCUGAGGUGCGAAAGCGUGGGGAGCAAACAGG